CGCUAAAGCCAACAAUGUUAUUUCAACAUAUAAUCUAAUAUAGUCUGGCAUUUUCAGAUGCCUUGUUCACCAAAUAAAGAAGGUAGCUGCGAUACGUUAUUGAAGAUAUCACAAGUAAACUCAAGUAGGCAGAAACUCAAGCCAUUCAAUUUGAAGCCCGCCCUAACUCUCCGCCUUUAAGGUCAUUUCAUAUUUCAUAUUUUACAAAGUAACAAUAUCCAAUUCCAAUGCCACUGUCACUGUACAAUCUAGACUCUCACAACCUAAAUAGUUAUUUUGUUAUUACAUGUAAGCAUCUAGAUACAAAGACGAUUGAAAUAUUGACACCAGAAACUUGUCAUUCAAAAGAGUGAAAAUUAGUGUAUGGCUAGCCUUGUUCCUAUGGAAAUUGAUAAAAAUCAUCUUCCAUAUUGUACACAUCCCCUAAAGAAGUUGAUAAUGAUGUUUCUUCACUAGUACCCGCAAGUUCAGCCUGCAAAAGAAUUGACAAGUUAUGCUUAGUAGCAUAAGAGAAUGGCACUCUAAAGUCAAAAUGGUUGAUAACUCUGUAUGAUUUCAGAAGUCUAGCUUACCUAAUCUCUGAUAUUAUACGGAAGCCUCAUGCAAAACAAUAUUUAAUUACUUUUGUUUAUUCGUUAUUCAACAAUUGAAACAUUAGCAGAUGUAAAGAGACAUCAGCUACCUAGAUUUGGAUAAGAGAGUCACUUUAAAGGUAACGUAAGUUACCAUAAACGUUGAUUGAGAAACUAAUGGUUGUGAUUCUGAUCAUAACUUGCACAAGUAUAAUAAACUAUGCUGUUAUUAAAUCUCAACCGUUGAUUUCUCGAUUAACAGUUGUGAUAACUGACUUAACAUUCUAAAGUAGCUUCCUCACUGAAGAGGAGCCAAAUCCCAACUAUAUAUAAAGCAAACACUUGUCUUUGGUCACUUUUUAAGAUUUACUAACCUUGGCUUGGCGAUACUUCUCAAGCAUGCGAUGGUAUUGCUGACGAGCAUCUGGAGAGUCAACCAUGGACAGAACCCGUGAAACAGCCUCUUCAAUUUCUACAUCUACUUUCUGUUUCCUGAAAAUCUUAAGAAUAUCUUCAUCUUCAUCUUCAUCUUCAUUUUCAUUAGUCUCCAUCUCUUGUCGGAAGCCUCUUAAACCAACCCCUUUUCGCCGCCAACGUAGCACAACCUUGUCCAAGAUUCCAACUGCCCAUAGAACCUUGUAAUGCUUCCUAACCUGGUAACCCCUCACAUGAGCCUGAGGUAUGUAUAUAUCAUAACUCUUCUGCAACUUUUGAUGUCCCUUUUCUUAAUGGUGGUGCUAGCUAUAAUCCAAGUGGUGGUUUUUGUCCCUAUAAAAGGUUUGGCGAUUGAUGUCUAGCAAGCAAGAGCAUUGCUUACGAUUCAUUACUAGUGAUAAGAGCAACUCUUCUCUAUAGAUCCUCAAAAUUCGCUAAAGCCAACAAUGUUAUUUCAACAUAUAAUCUAAUAUAGUCUGGCAUUUUCAGAUGCCUUGUUCACCAAAUAAAGAAGGUAGCUGCGAUACGUUAUUGAAGAUAUCACAAGUAAACUCAAGUAGGCAGAAACUCAAGCCAUUCAAUUUGAAGCCCGCCCUAACUCUCCGCCUUUAAGGUCAUUUCAUAUUUCAUAUUUUACAAAGUAACAAUAUCCAAUUCCAAUGCCACUGUCACUGUACAAUCUAGACUCUCACAACCUAAAUAGUUAUUUUGUUAUUACAUGUAAGCAUCUAGAUACAAAGACGAUUGAAAUAUUGACACCAGAAACUUGUCAUUCAAAAGAGUGAAAAUUAGUGUAU
This 1804-nucleotide long non-coding RNA is filed under the name Lotus japonicus. RNAcentral describes it as "long non-coding RNA (LJAP_LNC001913)". Lineage: Eukaryota; Viridiplantae; Streptophyta; Magnoliopsida; Fabales; Fabaceae. The record is from RNAcentral.